Molecule: ribosomal RNA, 253 nt
Filed under: uncultured bacterium
Lineage: Bacteria
Description: partial 16S ribosomal RNA
Rfam family: Bacterial small subunit ribosomal RNA
Source: RNAcentral
UACGUAGGGGGCGAGCGUUGUCCGGAGUUACUGGGCGUAAAGCGCACGCAGGCGGUCUGUUAAGUUUGGCGUGACAGUUGGUGGCUCAACCACCAAAGUGCUUUGAAAACUGAUAGACUUGAGGGCUUCAGAGGGACACGGAAUUCCGGGUGGAGUGGUGAAAUGCGUAGAGAUCCGGAGGAACACCAAAGGCGAAGGCAGUGUCCUGGGGAGUACCUGACGCUCAGGUGCGAAAGCCAGGGGAGCGAACGGG